AUUGAACGCUGGCGGCAGGCCUAACACAUGCAAGUCGAACGGCAACAGGAAACAGCUUGCUGUUUCGCUGACGAGUGGCGGACGGGUGAGUAAUGUCUGGGAAACUGCCUGAUGGAGGGGGAUAACUACUGGAAACGGUAGCUAAUACCGCAUAACGUCGCAAGACCAAAGAGGGGGACCUUCGGGCCUCUUGCCAUCGGAUGUGCCCAGAUGGGAUUAGCUAGUAAGUGGGGUAACGGCUCACCUAGGCGACGAUCCCUAGCUGGUCUGAGAGGAUGACCAGCCACGCUGGAACUGAGACACGGUCCAGACUCCUACGGGAGGCAGCAGUGGGGAAUAUUGCACAAUGGGCGCAAGCCUGAUGCAGCCAUGCCGCGUGUAUGAAGAAGGCCUUCGGGUUGUAAAGUACUUUCAGCGGGGAGGAAGGGAGUAAAGUCAAUACCUUUGCUCAUUGACGUUACCCGCAGAAGAAGCACCGGCUAACUCCGUGCCAGCAGCCGCCGUAA
RNAcentral lists this ribosomal RNA (506 nucleotides) under uncultured bacterium. Its description in RNAcentral is "partial 16S ribosomal RNA". It matches the Rfam family "Bacterial small subunit ribosomal RNA", at positions 30 to 523 of the family's 1533-position model. The record is from RNAcentral.